Non-coding RNA from Schizosaccharomyces pombe (fission yeast), 1097 nucleotides. NCBI's taxonomy places the organism in Eukaryota, Fungi, Ascomycota, Schizosaccharomycetes, Schizosaccharomycetales, Schizosaccharomycetaceae. The record is from the annotation of a GenBank genome assembly.
AGUCUUCGGUUCUAUAACAUCUUCAGCAUAAACCCUUUGAUUAACCAAUAUAUGUUGAUGGAUGAGUGUUUUAACGUCUUCAGCAGCAUACAUUGAAUACAAAUAUGCCAAUUCCGUAUUGGUAUACACGUUUAAAAAGGCAGACGAGUCAGGAACUAACAUAGUAACAGAUGAAUAUUCACCAACCCAAGCGACGGAUAAACGAUGAAAAAUUGAAAAAUCUUUCUCAGAACUUAAUAUUUCGAGGGCUGGAGGCGGAAGAUCUAUAAUGUUAUCGAUGACUUGAACGACGCCGCUGUCAGCACGCCAAUUCGAUUGAACUAUUUGUGCAUUGUUGACUUUAUCAUAUGCCCUACCAGUUUCUGCUUUGUAAUGAAUUUUUAAAGCGAUUUGCUGACCGUCUGAGCUUUUCAAUUGAGUACGCAACACCGAUCUAUCAAGUUCUGUUGUAUUUACGAUAUAAUAUAACAAAUUGGGCUCAAUCGAAUCAUCAGGAAAAGCCUCAUUUAAAGGCGCGAAAAGUGUAAGUCCUUUGUUUCGAUUUAAAUAAGGAACCAGACGAUUGCGUUGCAACCGUCUGAUCAAUUUUGAAAACUGAGAUUUUGAAGACAGUAAAUCUAUAAUCGAAGUAGAUUUAUCUUCAUACUCAUUUUUACCAUUAGCAAAUGAUAUAAAUAGAAGAAUAAAUAAGAGAUAUAACCGAAAUUGAAGGUUCAUUGCGAUUAUGGCUUUGUUGGAGAUGAAAGGUGAGGCAGCGAUUUAGUUGCAAUUCACCAAAAUACUUUAUAAUUGAAAGAAAACUAAAUUUCUUUUUCAAAGAAUUGAUCAUUUAAUAGAGACUUGAAACUAUUAAUCAAUCUGGCACAUUUAUUGAAAAGUAGUGUCGUCCGCGAACAGUUGUGCUACAAACGAGUGUGCUUCUCAAAUUGUUUCAGUUCAAUAGAAAACUAUUAAUACGCAACAAACAAACAAAGAAGAUGAUUUUUAAAUACUAGGACACGGUUCUUACGACACAUUAACUUUAAAUUACCAAUUACCAGUACUGGCGAGGCGAAUAAUAAAUAUUAAUUUUACUUAGUUAACAGUGAUAUUUUCUG